AUACAGAGGGUGCAAGGCGUUAAUCGGAAUUACUGGGCGUAAAGCGCGCGUAGGUGGUUUGUUAAGUUGGAUGUGAAAGCCCCGGGCUCAACCCUGGGAACUGCAUCCAAAACUGGCAAGCUAGAGUACGGUAGAGGGUGGUGGAAUUUCCUGUGUAGCGGUGAAAUGCGUAGAUAUAGGAAGGAACACCAGUGGCGAAGGCGACCACCUGGACUGAUACUGACACUGAGGUGCGAAAGCGUGGGGAGC
Molecule: ribosomal RNA, 249 nt
Filed under: uncultured bacterium
Lineage: Bacteria
Description: partial 16S ribosomal RNA
Rfam family: Bacterial small subunit ribosomal RNA
Source: RNAcentral